CGGUGAAAUAGUAGUGGCGGUGUAGAUGCCGCCUACCCGCAGCAAGACGGAAAGACCCUAUGAACCUUUACUGCAGGCUCGUAUUGGUCACGAGCACAGGAUGCGCAGGAUAGGUGGGAGGCUUUGAAGCCGGCGUUUAGGCGUCGGUGGAGCCAACGGUGAGAUACCACCCUUCUUGAGUUUGUGGCCUAACCCCG
This 197-nucleotide ribosomal RNA is filed under the name uncultured Stichotrichia. RNAcentral describes it as "partial Bacterial large subunit ribosomal RNA". It matches the Rfam family "Bacterial large subunit ribosomal RNA", at positions 2034 to 2230 of the family's 2925-position model. Lineage: Eukaryota; Ciliophora; Spirotrichea. The record is from RNAcentral.